UCUUGGCAGGGUGCAAUGUGGUGUUCGGGAGGGUCCAUUCGCGCCUUGAGCUCUGGUGUCCAAGUCCCCCUGACCGGGGCCAUCGCCCGUUGAGGGUGCAAGGCCUGUUGGGCAGGGCUGUGUCUCCGAUCUCGGCGCGUCGGGUCCCUUCCUUGGAGUCGGGUUGCUUGAGAGUGCAGCCCAAAGUGGGUGGUAAACUCCACCUAAGGCUAAAUACUUUCCACGAGACCGAUAGCAAACAAGUACCGUGAGGGAAAGUUGCAAAGAACUUUGAAGAGAGAGUUCAAGAGUGCGUGAAACCGUUCGGAGGUAAACGGGUGGGAGCGCGAAGGUCGAACGGAUGGGGAGGGAUUCAACUUGGCGUGGCGGCUGGCCGAGCUUGGUUCGUGUCUGGGCGUGCGGGCCUCCCUUAACGGGGAGUUGCCUGCCGCCCCGCGUUCCGCUCCGGCCGUAGUCCGCCGUGCCUUGUGCAUUUCCCUAUUCCCCCUCUCCUAGUAGGACGCCGCGACCGGCUGUCGAGGGGAGCCCAGGAGCUGGUUGGAGCAGUUGCGCGGAUGAGUAAGGGAUCAGUUCUCUGCGUCCGGUCUGUCUGUCUCCUUCCGCCCGCGGGUCGCUCCCUCCGGCCGAGGAACUGUGCGAGCUGGGCCCUUCGGGGUCCCUCGUCCAUGUGCGUGCCCACGAUCUGUCGGUGCGGGUCGAAAGAUCCCAACGGGUGGCGGCUUCUGGUCGGUUUCCCACCCGACCCGUCUUGAAACACGGACCAAGAAGUCUAACGUGUGGGCGAGUCUUCGGGGACUUAUGAACCCUUAGAAGGCGAAAUAAAAGUGAAGGCGUGGUGCCGUCCUCUGUUCUCCGCCUCGGCGGAUGAGCGUUGGGUGGCCCCGCCCGAGUGGGAUCCCCCGUCUGAUGGCGGGGGC
This 917-nucleotide ribosomal RNA is filed under the name Nannaria aenigma. RNAcentral's name for it is "partial 28S ribosomal RNA". It matches the Rfam family "Eukaryotic large subunit ribosomal RNA", at positions 128 to 790 of the family's 3401-position model. The record is from RNAcentral. Lineage: Eukaryota; Metazoa; Arthropoda; Diplopoda; Polydesmida; Xystodesmidae.